AACCUAUAGUGAUGGCAUCGUCUCAAGAGAUCAUUGUAUCUCUCCCAUGCAUCGUAGAGUGUCUCUAAAUCCAUCUGCACAAAAGAAGAUAUAUCAUUACGUAAUUU
Molecule: non-coding RNA, 107 nt
Organism: Gossypium hirsutum (cotton)
Lineage: Eukaryota; Viridiplantae; Streptophyta; Magnoliopsida; Malvales; Malvaceae
Source: Rfam